Molecule: ribosomal RNA, 253 nt
Filed under: uncultured bacterium
Lineage: Bacteria
Description: partial 16S ribosomal RNA
Rfam family: Bacterial small subunit ribosomal RNA
Source: RNAcentral
UACGUAGGGGGCAAGCGUUGUCCGGAUUUAUUGGGCGUAAAGAGCGUGUAGGCGGCCUUACAGGUCAGCUGUGAAAACUCGAGGCUCAACCUCGAGACGUCGGUUGAAACCGUAAGGCUAGAGUCCGGAAGAGGAGAGUGGAAUUCCCGGUGUAGCGGUGAAAUGCGCAGAUAUCGGGAAGAACACCCGCGGCGAAGGCGGCUCUCUGGGACGGUACUGACGCUGAGACGCGAAAGCGUGGGGAGCGAACAGG